Perca flavescens (yellow perch) is the source of this 444-nucleotide long non-coding RNA. RefSeq lists it as uncharacterized. The record is from RefSeq and is a predicted model, not a curated record. The transcript is spliced from 3 exons. Lineage: Eukaryota; Metazoa; Chordata; Actinopteri; Perciformes; Percidae.
CUCAACAAGCUACUGGAUGAUGGAGACAUCACGCCAGAGCAGAUGGAGCAAUUCCAUGAAGCUGCCUUGGCGUUUCUGACCUAUGCUGUGGACUAUGCUCUAAAAAAGCUGCCCCUACAAGAGCCACUGCUCAAGCACGCCAAGUUUGUUGAUUUUCGGCAGAGGUUGGAAUGUGGCGUAGAAGAUGCCCUUUACUUUGUUGAGAGGUUUCCCAACCUGCUCCCCUACCAUGGGCCUCAGGAGUAUAACCUACUCAGUGACUAGUUCCUGGAAUACCAGACUAUGCCAAUACCACCCCUGCAGGUCCCAGAGGAAAUUGAGAUGGAGAGCUUCUGGGCUGAAAUGGCUACCCGAAAACACAAGGUGACUGGUUUAAGCCUGUUCCCAAGGCUUGCCACCAUUGCCAAGAUUGUCCUGGUGCUCCCCCAUUCAAAUGCUGAUGCG